RNAcentral lists this ribosomal RNA (327 nucleotides) under Triticum aestivum (bread wheat). RNAcentral describes it as "partial small subunit ribosomal RNA". The record is from RNAcentral. Lineage: Eukaryota; Viridiplantae; Streptophyta; Magnoliopsida; Poales; Poaceae.
AUGAAAUAUGUAUUGGAUCUUCUCAGUGAGACUGGUAUGCUUGAGCAUCGAGCUGCUUCAACCCUAUUGAGUAAAACCACCAGCUGUGUGCUCACUCAGGAGAUCCGGUUGAUAGAGGGAGCUACCGGCGGCUUGUUGGUCGACUCAUCUAUUUGUUCCACACGAUACCUGACAUAUCUUAUGUUGUGUGUGGUGAGAUGCUACAUGCAUGACCGAAGAAGUGGGCAUUUAGAGGCAACACAUAGAAUUUUGUGCUAUCUAGAAGGGAGUCCUGGAAGAGGUCUAUGGUUCAAGCAAUGGACAUUUGAAUGUAGAGGGAUAUUGUGA